AUUAAACGCUGGCGGCAUGCCUUACACAUGCAAGUCGAACGGCAGCACGGGGGCAACCCUGGUGGCGAGUGGCGAACGGGUGAGUAAAGCAUCGGAACGUGCCCUGGAGUGGGGGGAGUAACGUAGCGAAAGUUACGCUAAUACCGCAUAUUCUGUGAGCAGGAAAGCAGGGGAUCGCAAGACCUUGCGCUCUGGGAGCGGCCGAUGUCGGAUUAGCUAGUUGGUGGGGUAAAAGGCCCUACCCAAGGCGACGAUCCGUAGCGGGUCUGAGAGGAUGAUCCGCCACACUGGGACUGAGACACGGCCCAGACUCCUACGGGAGGCAGCAGUGGGGAAUUUUGGACAAUGGGCGAAAGCCUGAUCCAGCCAUGCCGCGUGAGUGAAGAAGG
Molecule: ribosomal RNA, 389 nt
Filed under: uncultured bacterium
Lineage: Bacteria
Description: bacterial SSU rRNA
Rfam family: Bacterial small subunit ribosomal RNA
Source: RNAcentral